Molecule: ribosomal RNA, 111 nt
Filed under: uncultured eukaryote
Lineage: Eukaryota
Description: partial small subunit ribosomal RNA
Source: RNAcentral
CCUCUAUCUCCCGCUCACGAUGCCGCACAUCCCGUUGCGCGUGUCGCCCGAGUUUGCGGGUACCCAGGCGCGCGGGCCUUACGGUGAUGUUGUUGGGGAGAUCGACUGGUC